UUCAUGGCACCAGCCCAAUCAGGCCAUGUCUUCCAAAAGGCUUAUACUUUCCAAAUUGUUGAUUUCAGUCUUUGCCUUGUGAUUUCUUUCAGCCAGUGAAAUAUGAAUGGAUUUAAUGAGGCAGCCUGUGCCAUCUCUGAGCAGAAUCCUCCAUCUUUGGGGCCAUCGUUCUCUUCUCACUACCAUGCGCCUUCUUGGUCCUAGAUAAUGAUACCAUUAACCUGAAUCCCAGAAGGAUGAGUGAGAAAUAGAUCUUCAUGCUACUUUCCUCUUGAUAAAAAUCAACAUACCACUGAAUUCUGCUGUUCUAAAAUCUGAGGCCGCUUGCUGUCUGGGUGCUUCAGGAAGACAUUUAUCCAGGACUUGGCUUCCUCUGCUUUUGGAACCUGUGCAGAAGAUGAGUAGUGACUCUAGAAGGGGCUGGUUGGAACCAGGGCUGAGGAUGAGGAUGCUGGCAAGCUGCCACUCAAGAGAAGAUGCACGGAGUCUUGCAGAUUAGAAACAGACUACAG
Molecule: long non-coding RNA, 512 nt
Organism: Aethalodelphis obliquidens (Pacific white-sided dolphin)
Lineage: Eukaryota; Metazoa; Chordata; Mammalia; Artiodactyla; Delphinidae
Exons: 3
Source: RefSeq, a predicted model, not a curated record